RNAcentral lists this transfer RNA (72 nucleotides) under Patescibacteria group bacterium. RNAcentral describes it as "tRNA-Arg". It matches the Rfam family "tRNA". From Rfam's summary of the family: Transfer RNA (tRNA) molecules are approximately 80 nucleotides in length. Their secondary structure includes four short double-helical elements and three loops (D, anti-codon, and T loops). The record is from RNAcentral. RNAcentral also lists the same sequence under 2 other names.
GCACCCGUAGUGAAAUGGAUAUCACGCCGGUCUUCGGAACCGUCGUUGGGGGUUCGAAUCCCUCCGGGUGCA